UAAGUGUUGCAAAUGCCUAGGACUGCAGCACAUCAUUUUCAGGCUCUGUGCCACCUGGGAGUACUUCUCCUCAGGCUUCAGGGCUGACUAAGCAGUGCAGGAAGAUUGGCUUAUACUGCCCAGCUGUAACAGCCCCUCUUUAAGCGCAGAUGAAAGCCAAUGAAUCAGAACUCAGCUUAUGAGCAAAACACAGCUCUUCUCAACCCCUCAUCCAGGAGCAGAGCCAGUUUGAGUCUUACUGAUGGACUGCCAGCUUUGAAUAUUUGUCCCUCCAAGUGCCAGGAGAGAUUAUAAAGAGCAUGAGUGUGGUGGAGGUAAGGAGAGCCAUGGAAAACCUGGUUGUUCCUCUGGCUGCUAUGAGACUUGGGCUUCUCUGGGGUGCACCCACCUACCCCAGCCCUCGCUGGGGGGAGAGGUUUCCUCCAACCUCUGCUGUUCCAAGCAAAAAGGUACAGCCAACAUUUCUGGCCAGAGCAGUUCUCUACCUGAUUCAUGUCUGUUGCUGAUUCUGCCUCCAAGAAAUUUCUCAGCAACACGUGUUACCAACUGCAAAGCACAUCAAGGAAAUACCCAGGGUGGGAAAUCAUUCUUAAUCCCCUUUUAGGCUCAGAAAAUUUGAACAACAAGCAGAGAAGGCUUGAGAAGGGCUUCACCCUGCUUCUGCAAGCUGUGGGUGUUUGCAAAGAAGAGUCUCCAGGUGUCAUCCAGCUUGUACUCAGAGAGCCCAGUGAUGCCUUUAGAAAUCUCCCAACUGGCUAUUUUAUGAAAAACAGAAGAGACAUUUGUGGAACAGCAUCCUUAAUUCCUUCACAGGAAGUUUCUGUGUCUUGAAGUGGUCCAAUAGACUGACCACGAAAAAUCUGCAGCAUAAUUUCAGGGUAUUGAACUAUGUCACAGGAUGUAGAUUAAGUUCUUUAAAGAUGAAGUCCUGUUCUUGAUGUACUGAUUGAAAUUAGUGUUAUACUGAUGGAAUCCAAGAGGUGUUGAUUGGGAGGCGUGUUUGGAUGCCUUUGAUCCAAUGGUGUGCUCAGAGCAAGACGAUAAGCAAUGCAAGAUCAAGCUAGCUGUGGUUUUCUGCAGUGAAACAUGGAAAACCUUCAAAGAUGCAGCCCUCUGUGAACUCUUCCAAGUCUGCACCAUCCUCCCAGUGCCAUUUUUUUUUCCCCUUAAUGUUAAAUUUGAACUUCCCAAGCUACAAUGUGUAACCAUUGUCCCUUGUAGUGUCUGUCACUGCUGAGAAGCCUUUGGGUCUGUGACCUUUGUGACUCCCUUUCCCACUGUUGUAGGUUUCUCCUAUUUUUCCACUGAGUCACGUUUUCACUGGGAGAGACAGUGCUACAUUUCUGCAAUGAGAGAGCUCACUGUUACCUUAGUAUUCAACCAAGUGUCCACUGCAACCCUUAGGUCUUUUCCAGCACUGGUAGACUUGAUCUUGAUGGAAAAUGAAUGGAUAUGUUUGACCCGAUAUGAAAUAUUAAAUCUCUAUUCAAGGUGACAUUUUGUAAAUUACAUGGCUGCGAAAUCAUGGAGAACUCGAAUCAUUUUCAGUAAGGAUGUUUGCUCCUACCACAAAACCCAAUUGGGGUGCCAUUCCUGGGGCAAAAGCCAGGAAGAGGUAGGGCCAUCAGACCUCACGUGGAUAUGAUUUUGGUUCCAUAAAUCUGCAGAUGCAUGGACUGGAAGCUGCACUUAUUGAGUGCACAGGGCAGAUGCACAUAGAAAUGCUGCUCUUAUCUGGUCCCUGUGUAUGUAAAGCCUGAAUGUGGCUCAUUGUGUUCUCUAUCAGGACACACGUCAGAAGCUUGGCUGUGGAUUCAAGAUUAGCUAAUUA
Molecule: long non-coding RNA, 1831 nt
Organism: Phasianus colchicus (ring-necked pheasant)
Lineage: Eukaryota; Metazoa; Chordata; Aves; Galliformes; Phasianidae
Source: Ensembl